AUGACAGUGGUUGGUCAGCAGCCUCUUACUGUCACGGGUCCGGGAAGCACCUUAAAUGUAAACCGCGUCAAUCCUAGGGUCACACAGCGAUUCUCACCGUCAUGCACCCACCACUCGGACGCAUAUUUCGAGAUCAAACAAGGCAGGACGGGAGCCCAGCUGGAAGGUGCCUUCUCCCCACCCGCGCAGGUCUGCACAGGGCCCCCAGAGGGGCACCCAGGCCCCAGGCCCCCUGAGCUUGGGGACCCCAGCCCCAGGCAGAGCCCAGAGAUGUCACGAGGGGCACGUGAGCCACCGGAGGGACUCCCGGUCGGCACCAGAGCCCGUGCCCACGCUCUCUCCAGCCCCAUGGGGCUGUGCCGCCCCCCAGGUGGGUGGACCCCGCGGCAGAGCACGCAGGUGGGGGGCAGGGGGUCUGGCGGAGGGUGCAGACCCGGAGUGCGGAGCCAGCGUGGAUGGGAGACCAGGCGCCGCAGGACCCCGCUCCGAAGUCAGGGUGGGCCCCUGCCCUUGGGGUUGCGGGGAGGGCGAGGGGCCAUUCUCUGGUGGAAGGACGGCCACGGCCCCCAGCUCCCGCGAUCAGGGCGGGGCUGCGCCGGGGCGGGGGGCUCGGCUUCUCCCUCCUCCCAGAGAGGAAGGAGGACUCCAGGCCUUUUCGCACAUCUUGUGUGUGGUUUCUCUGCUGUCAACAAUCAACAGGGUGACAGAAGGCGGAGCUGGCCCCGCGCAGCCCUGAAGGCGGUGUCCUGGGAGGAGCCGCUCCCCCCGCCCCUCCCGUCCCCGCCCCUCCCGUCCCCGCCCCUCCCGUCCCCCCGCCCCUCCCGUCCCCCACCAGUCCCCGCCCCCUCCCCCUCCCGUCCCCCAGGGUGCGGGGAGGACCCUCGCCCCCCAGGACGGCGAGCCCCGCCCACACCUGCCGCGCGACCCGCUCCCCGGAAAGCCCGGCGCCUGCGCGGGGAGGACUCGCACCCCGCUCCGGGGCCCAGCUCCCGCCUGCGUCCCCAGCCGCGGGCCCCCAGCUCGGCCUCCCGGGGACUCUUCUCCUGUAAGCGGGGCAGCGGGGCAGCGGGGCAGCGGGGCGCGGCGGAGGGCCGGGAGGCUCCCGGGCAACGUGGCUGUGGGGACCGGCCGCUCCCCCUCCGCGGGGGCGCCAGUGCGCGGCCCAGGCCAGCGGGUGUGGACUCGCCUGGCUCUUCCGGCUCAGGGCUCGGCUUCUCCACCCCAGGGAGGCGGGGCCCCCCGGGGCGCGGCUGGCUCUGGGCGCCCACAGGCCGGGACGGCGGGAGCGGCAGGAGCACCGUCCACUGCGCCCGCGGCGGGCAGGCGCUCGCAGAAUCCAGCGCUCCCGGAAUCAAGUGGGCAUCGACGCGGAUCCUGACAGGCUGCAGCACUUAA
Molecule: long non-coding RNA, 1395 nt
Filed under: Canis lupus familiaris (dog)
Lineage: Eukaryota; Metazoa; Chordata; Mammalia; Carnivora; Canidae
Description: lncRNA (ENSCAFG00030001679.1)
Source: RNAcentral